RNAcentral lists this ribosomal RNA (42 nucleotides) under Fusarium falciforme. RNAcentral's name for it is "partial 28S ribosomal RNA". Lineage: Eukaryota; Fungi; Ascomycota; Sordariomycetes; Hypocreales; Nectriaceae. The record is from RNAcentral. RNAcentral also lists the same sequence under 1 other name.
UUGACCUCGAAUCAGGUAGGAAUACCCGCUGAACUUAAGCUA